GACACGAAGCGUAUACGACGAGACAGUGCUUAAUAAACAAUAAAACUUGUAAAUUCAGUUGUUUUAUUUAGAGUUCACUUUUGCAGUUUUGUAUGUUUGUUGCAAACUUCUGUUGUUAUACUAACAAUUACUUUAAUACGAUUACGUUAUUUAAAACCCUAACGAUUAAUCUUCGUUCACAGUUUGGCAUGGAGUUAGAUAAUUAUUUAAGAGGGCAAGAUUACGAAAAAUAGUGCUGAGUAAGAGCCUUGGAAGCAACAACUUACAAUUUAAUAUUUUUUUAAAAUUUUUUUUUGUAAACAUAAUUUUAUUAGCAUUAAAUGUCAUAUAUGUUUAUAGCCUCAUAUAAAACAAAAACCUGUGUAUCGGUAAUGCUUACAGAAAUUAUUUUGUGUUUAUUAUAUAAUUCAUAUUAUGUAUUCACUACUGACAAAAAUUGUUUAUUCUCCAUUCUGUAUUAUUUUCGGCAAGAUUAAGAUACUUCCAUAUUCGUAAUAUUUGCAUAUUCGUAUUUUUUCAUAAAAUUUUGUCUGUGUAAUAGACUAAAGGGAACAGAAACAAAAUAUGAAAUAGAAUUAUACUGUUUAGUUUUAACAACUGCACGUGUAUUUGUCACGUUAUGUGUGUGAUUAUUACAUGAUGAUUUAUAGAAUAUGUCUGUCUGUCUGUAUUUUGUGUAAAUAAUCUUCGAUUGUUGGUAU
Molecule: long non-coding RNA, 701 nt
Organism: Mercenaria mercenaria
Lineage: Eukaryota; Metazoa; Mollusca; Bivalvia; Venerida; Veneridae
Exons: 2
Source: RefSeq, a predicted model, not a curated record